UUUCUUUCUACUGUCUUUUCUGUUUUAAGAGGGGGAGCCCUGGUGCUAUGUUUAGGUUUUUGCCUUGUGACCUAGAGAUCUAGUAGUCAAUUGUGGAUAGCAGAGCAUAGGGACUGACCCCAAUAAAACUAUAAUGGGUAGCGGGAUAGCCACUACAACUAAGAAAAAAAGUUAUUUAUAGUCUACACAUAUAAAUACACAAAAACACUAAAAUACACCAAGAGUAAUUUUGCAGCAGAGAGGAGUAGUUCUGCAGAAUUAGAGAAAUGGUGAAGCAGAUAGGAAUGAGAGAAGAGAUGGAGAGUUUUCAGUUUUAAAUAAGGGGAAGAGAUAGAGGUAAACACAUGUAGCAGAGAAGGAAAUGGAAGAGUGUUAUAUGAGGGGAAGAAAUAGAGAUUUCUCAGUUUUAAAUGAGGGGAAGAAAUAGAGAAAAUAAAUAAAUGAGAAGAAAUAGAGAAAGAAGUUAAAUGAGGGGAAGAAAUUGAGAAAGAAAUGAAGUUAUUAAGCAUAUGUGUUUUAAAAUGAGGAAAGAAGUGGAGUAGUGUUUUUCAUAAAAAAAAAAACCCUAAAAAACUAACAGUUAAAAAAUAAGGCAAAACAGACUUUCAUCUAAAAAAUAGGUUUCACUUACCUUCAACCUAUAGUGGAUUCUAGACUGCGAAAUGGAGUACAAACUACUCGACCCGCAUCAGUUGUGACGACCUGUCUAUAUCACUAUCGGCCGUUUUGUUGUGCGGAGGGGCAAACAACCUCUGCGACACUGAUAUUGCACCGCUAUCACGUGUGAUUGACUACAAAGCUGGAAAUUACAGAUUCAAACCCCUGAAACAACUUAUCUGCUGGAAGGGGGUAAGGAAUACCUUUACGGAUUUGCCAUCCCCUUGACCCUUUUCUGUCUUUCCUGUUCUACUUUCUAGCCAGCUUUGUUCAUAAUUUACUACAUUUUGCUUGUUUUAUUUAUAUUGGGCCUAGUCUGUCUUGUUCCCACGUGUGUUGCCAAGUUCAGGUGUUUUCCAUUGUUUGGCUGGGUUUAUUAGUUUAUUUGUAACAAGCUGAGAAGAACUUAGUAGUUAGUAGCUUCAGGUUUAGAGGGAGUAUUAAAAUAUUAACAUUCAUGUUACUAGAUCAUCAACUAUAUUUAUGUUGAUUAGAUUGGAAUAAUCAUUAUAAUUAUCAUCUUCGACACAGGCACUGUUGGUUUCUUCUCUUUUCCACGUGUGACAAGUUGGAUGCAUAUGAUCCAACUUGAGGGAGAGUGAUGUAUAUAGUGAAGUGGCUCAGAUCUCUUGAGCUGAGGAUCUAUUAUGGUCUGGCUGCGAUUAGUGCUUGUGUUCUUGUUUUGUAAGCUUUAGCUUGAGGGGG
Molecule: long non-coding RNA, 1362 nt
Filed under: Lupinus angustifolius (narrow-leaved blue lupine)
Lineage: Eukaryota; Viridiplantae; Streptophyta; Magnoliopsida; Fabales; Fabaceae
Description: long non-coding RNA (LANG_LNC003181)
Source: RNAcentral